Molecule: long non-coding RNA, 1038 nt
Organism: Mytilus californianus (California mussel)
Lineage: Eukaryota; Metazoa; Mollusca; Bivalvia; Mytilida; Mytilidae
Exons: 3
Source: RefSeq, a predicted model, not a curated record
AUACUAUACCGUUGAAAUCCUUGAUAUCUUGAAGUCAGAUUUUAUUCCUUCUUAUAUUAAAAUUCAAAAGAGUCAACAUUAAAUUAAGCAAUAAUGUAUUAAUAAACAAUCACCUUUCUUUAAUGUUUAUUCAUUUCGUUCGUGUAUAUUUUAGAAAUUAAGAAAUGAAAACUGUAACUGUACUAAGUUCCAUUUUCGUAUCGUUUAUAUGCAUUACGGAAAACCGACCUUUUCCGGAAUCGACUUUUGUUUUAUCACCGGAAAUGAUAUUAAAUUUUGAAAUUUGAAACGAAGACAGGAUAUCAACAAAGAGAGCCAAGAAAAUUGUUUGUUACGCGAUAUAUACUCACUUGGAGCUAUAAAAAAAGCCACAAAGGACAAGUUCAAUAUGCAGGUUUACAAUUUGGAAGUGGCACAGGUUCUUUGGAAUGUCGACAACCUUUCAGGAGAAAUUUGUUUUUGAAACGCAUGGCACAGCAAGAAAAAGAUAUAAGUCACUAAAAGACAUUCCAAGUGGUUUUGAAUAAGACAAUUAAUUGACUUUUUCAAUGUAUUCUUAAAUAAAUCAAAUAGUUGAUGUAAAAUGGUGUUUUGUUCUCAUCUCUUAAGCCAAUUAUCAACAAUUAUUGACUUAAGAUGUAAUCCUAUUAGAAGUGUUACGUUUGAGUUUAGAAAGAGAAGUUAUAUUGAAAAAUCUGAAUUUGGGACAUAAGUUUUAGUCUAUGUAACUUGAACUUAAAAAUGUGUAUAAUGUUUGCAUAAUGUCCAAUGGCAUAUAUGUCAUGCAUGUUCAGGUUGACAUAUGCAUGAUUUGUAUAAGAUAGGUAAUAAAAGUUGAGAGUGAAAAACUAAACAUUAUACCAUUGUGGUAGGAAUGUGGACUUUCUUGCACUGUCUGUCGUCUGUCCACCUAUAUUUGUCGGAUUUUGUCCAACAAAUAUUUUCAUUACUGUUUUUCCCAAAACUGUUGAUCAAGAUGAGUUCAUAUUUGUUGAGCUGCUUGAUUGUGAUGAACUGUGAUGUGUGAACAUUUUUGUA